Zalophus californianus (California sea lion) is the source of this 603-nucleotide long non-coding RNA. RefSeq lists it as uncharacterized. The record is from RefSeq and is a predicted model, not a curated record. The transcript has 6 exons. Lineage: Eukaryota; Metazoa; Chordata; Mammalia; Carnivora; Otariidae.
GUUUUGUUCUGUCUGUUAAACAUCUUUGCCAGGCUCCAUAGAGACAUACUGUGAGAAGAAGAAAAGGAAAGUUAAUUCUGUCCAUUGCACAGAGUCACUUUGAAAAUGUACUGCCAGCACCUUGCGACAGAUAUAUUUUUUCCUCUGGUUAGAGAUUUCCUCAAGUGAUGCUUCUAGAUGGUGUAUGCUGUUGUGGGACUUUUGGCAAUCCUUACGUAACUGAAAAUGUCUGUCUCUUGCUGUCACACCAGGGUAGUUUGGCUAUAGGAUCGUAGAGUCACAUUCAGGUAGGUGACCCAAAGAAUACAUAUGGGGAAAAAUAAGAAAACAAUGUGGCCUUGCUCAUUAAGCGUCUGUGCUUUCAUCUCAAAAAUAACAUGCAUGACAGCAAUUCCAACCCAAGAUAAACAUUAUCCAGAAGUUGAUGUGUGUGGCGGACACUGGGAUACCCAAUCCAGAUGCAAUGCCCCAUUCUGAUCACCCCUCAGAUCUCAUCUGGGACUAUCACUGUCUGGAUGUUCCAGAUAGAAAAAUGUAAGUGCAGAUAAUUACCUUCUUUGUCCAAACAAGAAAUUUGGGACACCACGUGUUAGCCACAAGCUC